RNAcentral lists this long non-coding RNA (2230 nucleotides) under Vigna radiata. Its description in RNAcentral is "long non-coding RNA (VRAD_LNC010576)". The record is from RNAcentral. Lineage: Eukaryota; Viridiplantae; Streptophyta; Magnoliopsida; Fabales; Fabaceae.
UUCUCUCUCUAAAACCAGGUUCUUCAAAUCCUCUGUCUUCUCUCUAGCUUUACUCUCCAUUGAACCGUUCAAAUCUUACUUGGGUGCUGCCAAACCGUUCCUGGCGUCAAGGGCUUCACUUCGAACCGAUUACUUUCUCUGUCUCCUUCUGGUAAGUUGUUUCCCUGUUUCCUCUGCCAUUUUCGAAACCUAGGAUUUGGGGUUUUACUGAUUUAAAGCACCCUUUUCUGAUUUCUAUUGUGUUCUAGCCCUAAGAGUUGUUCUCCAUCACCAAUUUGGUGAUUUGUAGGUUCUGUAAGUGCAUCGUUGUGUGGGUCAUUGUUAGGGUGUUUUCUGUAGACUGUACGGGACAACCUAGAGAUAAGGGGAGCUAGUUAUAUUUCUUUGAAUUAUUUAUUUAUUCUGUAUGUAUGGAAUUUUAUUUUGGUGUGUUGUUUUGGAAAAUGAUGAAAAAUUAGUAUGCUUAAUCUAUGAUGGCUUGUCAAGUAGUGAUUUUAUUGAAUUAAAUGGUUGUAGAUUAGACUGUUAUGAGUUGCUUGGGGGUAGAAAAUUAUAUUCUAGUACUGUUAAAAUGGGGAAUCAAUUUCUGGGGUAGUGCUUUAUGGAGUAGUUCAUGGUGGUGUUGAUUGGGUUUCAUUAAGUAUGAGAAAGUAAAAAUUUUAGACUGUGUAAAUGGUGCAGGUUUUAAGAAAGAAGUAGAAAAUAAAAGAAAAAAAAAAACAAAUGGGAGAAGGUGGGCCGUGAGAGGAUGGGAGGUUUAUGUUUCUGGAGUUGAAAAGAAUAGGAGGAAUUUUAGUUUUUUUAGUGGAGGUGCCAGGGAGUUAGGUUUUGGAAAAUUUAAUAUUUGGAAGGCUUUAAUGGAUUGGAUGUAGACAAAAAUAUAAUUAAUAUAAUAUAAUAUAUUAUGUAAUAUAUAUAAGAUAGAGAGAUUUUCGGAUCUUAAUAUUAAUAAUAUAUAUAUAUAUAUAUAUAUAUAUAUAUAUAUAUAUAUAUAUAUAUAUAGAGAGAGAGAGAGAGAGAGAUAGAUAGAUAGAUAGAUAGAUAGAUAGAUAAGGUAGGACUUACGUAAGUUUAUGCAGGUGUUGGGUUCAUAGUUUAUUAUUUAUUUUAAAAAGAAAAAGUUGUUGUAUUGAUUAGAAAAUGGAGAUUGAUAGAUAAUAUUAUAUUUUAUAUUAUAUCUAAUGAUUAUUUUUUUAUUAUGAUUCUUGUAUAUUAUAUAAUAAUAUAUAAUUUUUAUACAAAUUAUAUAUAUGUAUGUUAAAAUUUUUAAGUGAGCAUUAAACUUUUAGUUAAAGUAUUUGUUACUUCUGUUAGCAAUAAUAGUCAGGAGUUGGUAUGAAAGGGGAGAAUCAGAGAAGGGGUUCUGGUUCCUUUUUGUUUGUUCCUCAUUUUAUGGUUGAUCAAAUGAUAGUUACUUGGUUUAUGGAACAUGGUUUAAUAUAAGGCCUUGUCUUUAAAACUUUAACAUGUGUGUUGAUUAUAAUCCAAAGUAUAGGAGUUCGAAAGUAAAGAGGUAUGAAUUCCAUGUUGUUCAUGGUAUGUUUCAAAGUAUAUUAUAAUUCAUGUUAGUAAGUGUGAUUCAAAGUGUCGAAUCUCUUGGUGAGAUUCUUAGUGUUUUAAAAUGAAAGUAGGGGCUCAGUCUUGGGAGUCAUUCUGACGCUUCAAUGGUCAAUCAAACUCACUUAGAGAGGUUGAACCAUGUGGUGAGAAGUAGCAGGAGGUCCUUAGUCUUGGGGGCUCCCAGUAUGCCUCAAGGCGCGGAACGGACUAACCUCGUGAGUGUGGCAGGGUGGGGAACCCAAGUUUCAUAAGUCACCACGGGUGCAAGACUCGUCAUAGCCCGACUAUCAUUUUAAAGUCCGGACGAGUCAAGUCUAGAAUGAACAUUGCUUAUGUUGUAUUUCUUACUAUUUUGAUCUAAGUUCACUCUUGUAUGAUUAUAUGUUUAAUCUGAUACAUGUUUUUUUAUAUAAUUAGCUCACCCUUGCAUUGCUUGUGUUGUGCCAUGUUUGUGUGUGCUUUCCUGUUGCGAUGAUCAUCCAUUUUGGAUGUGAGCAGAGAAGAAUGAGGUCUCCCUAGAGAACGUCUCGGAAGGAAAUGAAGAUGCUGCUGCGUAGACUCUUUAGGAUUUCUGGGCCUGUUGAGCCCUUUUGGAACACUUUUAAAUUUAUGUCAUUUUGAGAUACUCUAGCACUUUAAGUUUCAAAGUCUUACUCAAUUUGUGGAUGAC